This 253-nucleotide ribosomal RNA is filed under the name uncultured bacterium. RNAcentral's name for it is "partial 16S ribosomal RNA". It matches the Rfam family "Bacterial small subunit ribosomal RNA", at positions 524 to 776 of the family's 1533-position model. The record is from RNAcentral.
UACGUAGGGUGCAAGCGUUAGUCGGAAUUACUGGGCGUAAAGCGUGCGCAGGCGGUUUUAUAAGACAGAUGUGAAAUCCCCGGGCUCAACCUGGGAACUGCAUUUGUGACUGUAGAGCUGGAGUGCGGCAGAGGGGGAUGGAAUUCCGCGUGUAGCAGUGAAAUGCGUAGAUAUGCGGAGGAACACCGAUGGCGAAGGCAAUCCCCUGGGCCUGCACUGACGCUCAUGCACGAAAGCGUGGGGAGCAAACAGG